This 517-nucleotide long non-coding RNA is filed under the name Urocitellus parryii (Arctic ground squirrel). Its description in RNAcentral is "lncRNA (ENSUPAG00010002858.1)". The record is from RNAcentral. Lineage: Eukaryota; Metazoa; Chordata; Mammalia; Rodentia; Sciuridae.
GAGAAACUACGCCACCUCCCCUGCAGCCGAGCGCACGCAGCAGCCUGGCGUGACAAGUGGGCGACGCCGGGGGGGCAGGGAACCGGGGGUCCUUGGCCCUGGCCGGGGACCUCGCCGCCCACCAGCGGAGAAUAAGUUUUAGCCGGCAGCCCCAGCCAGCCCUGCACCUGUCUCCAGCGUCUCCAUCGCUCCUCGUGAUCAUCGAAGGGAAAUUCUAGAAGAAUUUGCUUCACAAAUCUACGUGCGCAUCAUUUUCUCCGCCGCGUCUCKUUCGGGAGGAAGGAACGAGAAAGGGAUUCGAGCGGCGGGCGUUCUGCCCGAAGGGUUAGGAGGAUUGAGGUGUUCGCCAUCUGGAGUUUCUCUGCCUCAUGGAGCCCAGCUCAGAGCUGCCAGUUUGCAGGAGAUGAUUGAUAACAUCUUAUUCACAGCCCAUUGCCAAUUUUUAGAUCUUCAUCCUUUUGGCCGACUUGAUUUCCGAGUUUAGUUUGACCAUUCUCAGCAACUAUCAACAGUGCGG